GACGAACGCUGGCGGCGUGCUUAACACAUGCAAGUCGAACGGGCCCGCCCCUGUUUUUGGGGGUGGGUUGAGUGGCGAACGGGUGAGUAUCACGUGAGUAACCUGCCCCCUGCUCCUGGAUAACUGCUUGAAAGGGCGGCUAAUACGGGGUGUGCCGGCUGGUCCGCAUGGGCCUGGUCGGGAUAGUUUCAUCUUCGGGUGUUUCGGUGGGGGAUGGGCUCGCGGCCUAUCAGCUUGUUGGUGGGGUGAUGGCCCACCAAGGCGGUGACGGGUAGCCGGCCUGGGAGGGUGGGCGGCCACGCUGGGACUGAGACACGGCCCAGACUCCGGCGGGAGGCAGCAGUGGGGGGUAUUGCACAAUGGGCGGAAGCCUGAUGCAGCGACGUCGCGUGAGGGAUGGAGGCCUUCGGGUUGUGAACCUCUUUCUCCGGUGGUGAAGGCCCUGUCCGUUGCGGCGGGGUUGACGGUAGCCGGGGAUGAAGCGCCGGCUAACUACGUG
This 499-nucleotide ribosomal RNA is filed under the name uncultured bacterium. RNAcentral describes it as "partial 16S ribosomal RNA". It matches the Rfam family "Bacterial small subunit ribosomal RNA", at positions 28 to 507 of the family's 1533-position model. The record is from RNAcentral.